This is a non-coding RNA of Paramuricea clavata, 405 nucleotides long. The record is from the annotation of a GenBank genome assembly. NCBI's taxonomy places the organism in Eukaryota, Metazoa, Cnidaria, Anthozoa, Malacalcyonacea, Plexauridae.
CAAGAUACAGGAAAAGUUUUCAUUUAACUUUCUCAGAUAAGAGAAAUAGUACUUUAAUUAGUUGACGGCAAUCCCCCUUUCAAGGCAUCUAUUUCUUUCCAUAAAACGGGAAGAAAUAUAUUUCGACAGGGAUAAAAUAAUCCCGUGUUCUGUAGAUUUCAUUAUAUCUACUAAUUGAGUCUGUUCUGUGACAAUGGUAAACUUGUUUCUAAGCAGUACCGUCGCGAGGAAUUCACUCGCCAAAAAAUUUUCGGUCAAUGUACCAUUUUACGGGGUAAAAAAAAUUUUCCGGACAUUUCAAAAUCAGUUUCGAAACAUACAAAAAAUUUUUGCGGACAUAUCAAAAUUUUUCAAAACAUACACAUUUUCUCCGUUAAUCAAAAAAAUUUCUUGGGGAGAUACCAC